CACCAUUUCAAGCGACUUUUUUUGUUGAGAGAAAUUUAGUUUCACUUACUCACACUACAUCACCAUUGCAGCCGUUACUGAUUUUUUUUCGUCUUCGUCUUCCAUCCGUUUUAGUUCUUCAACCUCUUUUAAAGGUGUCGCGCGUUUUUCCCUUCACAGCUUCCAUUCGGGUUGCAGCGAAAUUUCGAGACUGAGGCAGAUGCGUUAAGUUGAAGACUUGAAGCUCCCUUGCUCUCUCCUUGAUUUGCUCACAGAAACGAUUUUCUUCAUAUGGAUUGGCUAAUUUCUCAUAGAUUGAGGAAAAUGACUAUGGGUUCAUGAUAUUGCAGGUGAGACAAGUGUUUUGAAGAGGGUUCAUAUGUUAUCCCAGGUGUGAAACAACAUAGAUUGAUUUCUGAUUUCUUGUGCUUGGCUGAACAGAUAUGAAUGAUGUAAUAGAUGGAGAGUUGCUGGGUGGAUCAUAUCAUCCAUAUGCAUAGGGGCGUUUUCCUCACAUAUGCAGCUUCAUAUAGCUUUUCUCAAUCUGUCUGCACAUGCCCACAUUGUUUCGAAUCCUAUGCUUUCUUUUACUUCAAUUGUUGGUUCCGAAUCUGUUUUUCCUUUUGUUCAAUUGAACAAGUUUUUAACUUUUUUCAAACUAUUUUUUUUAUUGUUUCUUACUUUCAAUUUUCGUUUUUUUUUAAGUUUUUUGUCUGUUAUUUGCUUUUUAAGCUAGAAACUAAGUGAAUUUUUAUGGUCUGCUAUUUUCUUACUUCAAGUUAUUUGAUAUUAUAUUAUAUCUCGCUA
Long non-coding RNA from Lotus japonicus, 786 nucleotides. RefSeq lists it as uncharacterized. The record is from RefSeq and is a predicted model, not a curated record. NCBI's taxonomy places the organism in Eukaryota, Viridiplantae, Streptophyta, Magnoliopsida, Fabales, Fabaceae. The transcript is spliced from 5 exons.